UUCCUCAAGCUGGAUUUGAACCAGCGACCUAAGGAUCACUGCUAUACAUCUACAGUCCUCUGCUCUGCCAACUGAGCUAUCGAGGGA
Molecule: transfer RNA, 87 nt
Filed under: Cordylochernes scorpioides
Lineage: Eukaryota; Metazoa; Arthropoda; Arachnida; Pseudoscorpiones; Chernetidae
Description: tRNA-Tyr
Source: RNAcentral